This 335-nucleotide ribosomal RNA is filed under the name uncultured eukaryote. RNAcentral's name for it is "partial 18S ribosomal RNA". It matches the Rfam family "Eukaryotic small subunit ribosomal RNA", at positions 1469 to 1796 of the family's 1831-position model. The record is from RNAcentral.
UCCCUUAGAUGUCCGGGGCCGCACGCGCGCUACACUGAAGGAAUCAGCGUGGCUUUCUCCCUGACCCGAAAGGGUUGGGAAACCCGUUGAAUCUCCUUCGUGAUAGGGAUUGGGGCUUGAAAUUGUUCCCCAUGAACGAGGAAUUCCCAGUAAGCGCGAGUCAUAAGCUCGCGUUGAUUACGUCCCUGCCCUUUGUACACACCGCCCGUCGCUACUACCGAUUGAACGGUUUAGUGAGGGCCUCGGAUUGGUCUCGGCCCGCUCUUUACCGGGCGGCGCCGUUGGUCGAGAAGACGCUCGAACUUGAUCGUUUAGAGGAAGUAAAAGUCGUAACA